RNAcentral lists this long non-coding RNA (1102 nucleotides) under Olea europaea subsp. europaea. The record is from RNAcentral. Lineage: Eukaryota; Viridiplantae; Streptophyta; Magnoliopsida; Lamiales; Oleaceae.
CAUGUAAGGGUAUUUAAAAACCUGGUGCCUUAAAAUCAUAUGAUUUGGGAGUCAUCGGCUUAAAGCCUACUACAGGGGUCAUCUAGAAAGUUUAAUGGAGAGAAUAAAUAUAUAAAAAAAUACUCGUGAAAAACAAAAAAAGCAAGUGCAUGAAAAGAGCAAAAGCACUAAAUAUCUUGAUUAAGCCCUAACACUUAUUUGAGAGAAUUCGACUUUUCAUACAAGAUAAUUAGCUAGUUAAGUCUUGGAGGUCGAAGCAAUCAAAUAAUUGAAGAAUUCUUUGUUUACUGAAGUGUUGACUUGCAACUAGUAUCGUCCAGCUAAACUCGAGAGGGUGAGGAUUGUAAUGAAAUUUUCAGCCUUAGAUCACACACUAGAAAAGAGUGAAAAAUAAUAAGUUUGGGGUUGUGUGAAUCUUAUGAGUGAUGAAAGGACAUAUAUGACCAUUAAGGGUCCGGAAUUGAAACAACUUGUGCAGUUAUGGUUGAUUACUCGAUUCUUCACACACAUGUCAAUUUUUGUACUGGAAGAGUGGAUAUUAGUUUAGUACUGUGACUUUGAAGCAUUUUAUAGAGUAAACACUAAAUCUUGAACCUGAGGUGAGAAGCUAGAUUGUCCAACCGAAUAUUUUUGCAUACUUGUGUGUUAGUUAUUAUUUACUAAUAAUUUUGUUUGAGCACAAAUAAAUAUUUAAGUUUGAGGGUAUUUGAUAAGUGUAUUUUAUACACUUAUUCGGUACAUUAAAAUAGCGAUAUUUGAUGGUCCUUUUAACAAAUUAUAUCCUAAAUUUUUGUCUUUUAUGUUUAAUAGGUGAAAUUUUAUGAAGGAAAAGGAAUUGAAGGAAUGAAGGCAAAAAGAGCAAAAUUCAGAAGUUGGGGACCAAGUUGUAAAAGUUCAAUAGUUGAUUCUGACCAUGAAUCGAAGAUUGAAGAAUUUGGAGAUCAAAUUCCAUAUUUUGGAAAGUGAAAGCCUUGAAUUGAAUCAAAGAAGAAAUGUGUUGCAAGAAUAAAAGGGCUCAAGGAUUGAAUUGCAUUAUUUUGGAAGAUGGAGGACUUGAAAAAUAAUUUAAGUAAUGAUGACUUAAAUUGGUGGUUGAUUGGAC